This 73-nucleotide transfer RNA is filed under the name Pteropus alecto (black flying fox). It matches the Rfam family "tRNA". From Rfam's summary of the family: Transfer RNA (tRNA) molecules are approximately 80 nucleotides in length. Their secondary structure includes four short double-helical elements and three loops (D, anti-codon, and T loops). The record is from Rfam by way of RNAcentral. Lineage: Eukaryota; Metazoa; Chordata; Mammalia; Chiroptera; Pteropodidae.
GGUUCCAUAGAGUAGCAGUUAGCAUGUCUGUUUUACAUGUAGAAGGUCCUGGGUUCACACCUCAGUAGAGCCA